UAGUCACAAUAUUUUUGGAGACAGUGAAUGUAAUUAUAUAACAACUAGGAUCAUCAAUAAAUAUUUAAAUGGAACAAUACACCCAAUCAAAAUAAUGCAAUCUUAUUAGCGGUCACUAAUGGCCCAUUUUCGCCAGGUAUUUGAAUUACGGCAGCUGCAGCAUUACAGUUUUCGCUAAGGGCCUCCUUCUGUUAGUCAAUACAGCGUUACCGGAAGUAGUAAAUUUUCUCACAAAAUAUACUACAAGCUAUUACUAUAACAAUGUAAAUAUCUAUAGGAUAUGUAAUUCUUUUGUUUGUUUUCGCAGCAGAUUUUUAUGCCUUAGGAAGGGUACACACUUAUUUUCAUUAUCUUAGUGCUGUACCUGCUUGACCAGUGUAGCUGCAGAUCACAACGCCGAUAUUGUGUGAUUGUGUGUGAUUUGUAGCAGGUUCUAACCCAGCAUGGUACAAAAAAAAAUGUGUAAGACGCAUAUUCUUGAUACGUUGAGUGACAUUUUAUGCGUGAGAUUUAAAUGUUCAUGAAACCUCCCGAGCAGAAAAGACCAAAAUAUUUUUUGCGGGGGUCAUUCACAAAAAAAUAUAAUAUAUGCGAUUAUGAAUCCAGUGUCAUAAGAAAAUAUAUUUAGGAAUGAAAUAAAUACUGAAAUAAAACCCUUUUCCUAAAUAAAUAUAAUUUAAUUUCAAA
Long non-coding RNA from Trichoplusia ni (cabbage looper), 687 nucleotides. RefSeq lists it as uncharacterized. The record is from RefSeq and is a predicted model, not a curated record. The transcript is spliced from 2 exons. Lineage: Eukaryota; Metazoa; Arthropoda; Insecta; Lepidoptera; Noctuidae.